Molecule: long non-coding RNA, 389 nt
Organism: Chiloscyllium plagiosum (whitespotted bambooshark)
Lineage: Eukaryota; Metazoa; Chordata; Chondrichthyes; Orectolobiformes; Hemiscylliidae
Source: RefSeq, a predicted model, not a curated record
UUGACUUUUCAGAUUUUAUUUGUGAUUCCAAGCGAGAUCCUACAUUUAGUUUGCAGUGUGAACUUCCAGUAAGGAGGUCACGAUUCUGGGAACGGGGAAGACUGGUUGCAGAGAUGAUACAGGCACAUUCGCAGAGAUCACGGGCACAUGCAAUACCACCAAGUGGAGGAAGGUGACAUUUGAACAGGUCACCUGCUAAGUCUUCAACGGCAACUACCAGAGGAGAUGAAGAAGAGCUGUCUCCUGGAUGAAAUAUGAGAGUCAGCCUCUAAAACAACAAUAACACAAUAAAUAAAAAAAUUAUACAGCACCACAGCGCUUGUCGGACAUGGCAUGCCCUGAACUUUUUCAGAAAAUGGAACAAGGGAACGACAGACAUCUUUGAGGAG